CCUGUUGCAGCCUGAGACCGAAAGUGCUGGCAGGGUUAAAGAAAUCAGGGCUGCAAAUCAACUGGGAUCUGCUAUAUUCACAGGACGUUGGAGUUUGGAUCUUGCUCAUGGCUGGCGAAGUGUUUAGAUCCUUUUGGAUGUCCUUCCAGAAGAGCACUCCCCAUCAACCCGCGGGCAGCUGAAUUCCCACCUCAGACUCUGCUCCAAGGGCGCCGUGUCUACGGAGGCGACGCUGAGGAUGGCUUAUCAGGUUGGGUCACUCACCCCACCACGAGGACCUGACCUUAAAUUCUCGGUGCAUCCUAAGUGUGACCCAGAGACCGCCUGCGUCAGAAGCACCUAGAAUGCUGUGGAAGCACCUUCAAUGCAGAUUCCUGGGCCCAACCCUGGUUCCACUGAAUCGGGGUCAGCUGGUGGGCCCAGGAAUUGGCAUUUUCAACAGCUUCCAAUUGUACACCAGAAUACUCAAGCUUGUGACUCCCCUGCUCACUGUUUUCUUCAUCCUUUCUCACUUCCUGCUGAGUACAUAUGUAUUUUACUACUUUUAGAGAUACUUUUACAAUAAAGGCAG
Molecule: long non-coding RNA, 571 nt
Filed under: Homo sapiens (human)
Lineage: Eukaryota; Metazoa; Chordata; Mammalia; Primates; Hominidae
Description: long non-coding RNA NONHSAT212900.1
Source: RNAcentral